AAGGAUUUGAGCGAGUUUGACAAAGGACCAAAUUGUGAUGGCUAGACGACUGGAUCAGAGCAUCUCUUGAGGGUGGGGUGUUGCCGGUCUGCAGUGGUCUGUAUCUAUCAAAAGUGGUCCAAGGAUGGAACCGUAGUGAACCGGCGACAGGGUCAUGGGUGACCAAGGCUCACUGAUGCUACUGUUGAUCAAUUUAAUUCUGGUUCUGAUAGAAAUGUGUCAGAGUACACAGCGCAUGACGUUUUAGCAGCAAAAGGGGGACCAACACAAUAUUAGGCAGGUGGUCAUAAUGAUGUGCCUGAUCAGAAACAUAUUCUCAGUGCAGAUUCUUGUUUCUCGGUUGCCAGGAGUGGAAUCGAUGCCAGUGUAGACCAACUGCCUUGACAUCUUAUGCAUUCUGAGAUGCUUUUCUGCUCAUCACGGUGGUACAUAGUGAUUAUUUGAGUUAACAUAGUACAGUACAGAGUAUUGUGUGUGUGUGUAAAUCCAAGGAGUUCAGAUAUUUUUAUAUAAAAAUUCAACCAGUAAAGUAUUUUCACUUGCAGCCGAAUAGUUUCCCAUUUCAGAUGUUUUAUGUGAGUGUUAACUAAAGCUGUAUCUGCUGCUGUUAAUGAGCAGGGGCUCAUGUUAAUGGAGCCCGGUGAGUGUAUAUUACUAAGAGAACACACUUGUGUGUGAAUGUGUUCACAGCCUAAAUAUUUGAAUCCUGGACGCUGUGCUGCUUUUAGAAACGCUCAACCCCGAAACGUUUUACAGUCACACCUUCGUGAAGAGUUUAAAGCUCCACUUCAUGGUUUUAAAAGCCUCGGUCCUGCAUUAUGUCUGCAGACAAAUGGACACAUACUCCAUCUCUUAUUUUGCUGAAUAAAUAUUUAUCCUUCAUAUCCUGCAGCUUGUAGCCAACCAUUUCUGUGUGGUGUUUAAAACAGGCUACAUUUUCACUCGUAAGGACUGCCUGUUUAUGGGCUUACAGAGCUUUCUCCAAAAAAAAAAAACCCUGUAUGGAAACCUAAAAGAUGGGAAACAUGUCUGCUUGUUUAUUGAAUUGUUUGACUUUGGAAAGUGGAUCUAGGCGUUGUGUGGCGUCUGUGUUUGAUUGUGGAGGCAGUGAGAAGGGGCCAUUUAGAAGAAAUCGUACAUGGAAGCAAUUUGAAAGCAGACUGAGGUUUAGCCAAAUAUGCGGAGGCUGUUUUUCUGAAAUUCUAGAAAUCACAGUGGGUGGGUUUGUGAAACAAAACUUACUCUAGCCAUGAUAGGAAAUAAAUCUCACUGUGGCUCAGAUGAGUAACAAUUUCAUCUUUUCUUUAUUUUGUUGUUGUUUUUGAGGCUACCCCUCAAUGAAAGGGCAACACUGAGAGGAAAAUGGCUUUCUACCUAAACAGGGACACUAGAGAUGCCGACGGUCAGAUGUUUGUUAGGUAGACAGAAGGAGUCAUUGAAGCUCUGCCUUUAUCCUACAGGAGGAUGUUUACUCUCUUCCUGGAGCAGUAUUUCCUGAGAUGACUUUCCACUGAAAUGACUUUCCAGCACAUUCAGUGUUUUUCUUCUCGGCAAUUUUCUGCUGCCUACAGACUUCUGCACCUCUCUGAUGCAAACUCGGCAUAAAUCGUGUGGCAGCUUGUCACUAAAGAGGUUUCCGUCAUUGGGUGAAGCCACUUGGACGAGUGUCAUAUCGUCAACAUGAUGAAAAACCGCCCAGUCAUCAGAACUCACUACUACAUGACAUCUACUGAUGCGCAUUCUUAUGAUACUCAGGACAUCUCUCCAGCGCUCACGUUUUUAGCCUGUAAGGUCAUCUGAGAUGAGACAAGGCAUUAUUUCUGUUCAUGUGGAAAUCUACAUCAUAUUGCUCUGUGGCUGGUCACAGGAGCAUACGACAGCUUUCACACACUAAACGGAAGGAUGCAAAACACCAAAGAAAGUGUGAAUUUUUCACUCGUGUUUACGUCAGUCACUGUGUACCAGUGGGACAACUCAGCUACUUAGCAGUUAAUAUCUUGCAUAAUACCACUCUCGUCCUAACACCAUUCUGAGGCUGAUACAGUCUGUGCCCUGUGCAGCGGAGGACAAGAAAAGAAGUAAAGUAAUGCGAUGGAUGGAUGGAUGGUUUGCUGGAUGAAUGGACAUGAAAAUAAAUAGAUGGAUGAGUGGACAUGCAAAUAGGUGGGUGGAUGGAUGGAUGGAUGGAUGGAUAUAUGUAUGUAUAUGCUGAGGGAUAAACGAACGUAGAUGAGUAGUUGUAUAGAUGGACAUGCGAAAAGAUGGGUGGAGGUAGAGGCAUUUAGAUGAACUGACAAAAUAGAUAGAUGUACAGGCAGAUAGAUGAUGGCCAGACAGUCUGAUAGGUAGAUGAACAGACAGUCAGAUUGCUAGAUGGACAGACAGGUUGAUAUGUAGAUGGACAGACAGGUUGAUAUGUAGAUGGACAGACAGGUUGAUAUGUAGAUGGACAGACAGGUUGAUAUGUAGAUGGACAGACAGGUUGAUAUAUAGAUGGACAGACAGGCUGAUAGAAAAUGGACAGAGGGCUGAUAGAUAGAUGGUCAGACAGGUAGAUAAGUUGAUGGAUACAUGAACAGACAGACCAGUUGAUGGGAUGAAUGGCAGGCAGGCAGGUAGAUAGAUAGAUACACUAAUUGACAGCCAAAUGGAUAGAUCUGCAGAGAAAUGGAUAUAAGAAUGGAGGCACAGACAGACAAAUGGAUGGGCAGAUGGAUGAUCUGACUAGACAAACAGAGAAUAAUUGAACAGACAGGGAGAUAGAUGUAUUAAGAUAUACAGACUGAAAUGGAUGACAGAUGAACAGAUAAUUUAUGGGAAAAUUAAUAACCACACCCAGAAAACGUUUCUUCGGAUCUUUCAGGACAUGGUCCAGCAUGCCUUUGGAAUGUAAAUACUAGUAACAGCUGUCCAUUAAUAGUGGACUUCACCACAGAGAGAAAGACAAUGACCGGUUCGAAUACACAAGACCUAAAGACACAAAUGCAAUUAGAGACGUUUUAUUAAGAAGACACGUAAACUCAGCCAAUGAUGUGGUGUCAGCACACUGUCCAGAUACACUUUAUUAUUAAGAGAGAUCAGUGGAGGAUGGCCACAUUGAUUUGAGCAAAGAGGAAGGCUACUCUUUACAGUCUUUACAGUCAUGGUGUGCAGAAAAGGAUCUCAGAAAGCACAAGACCUUAAACCUUGAGGUAGAUGUGCUACAACAGCAGAAGACCACAUCAUGUUUACUCCCGACAGACAAAAACAGGACGCUUAGGCUACAGAGGGCACAGGCGUACAGAGACGAUUGGAAAAAAUGAGAAAUUUUUUCUUCGAUCAACAGUUUCCGUGACUGUUAUGGCUCCUGCGCAUGAACCCAGCCAUGCUAUCUUGGUAUACUGGGAUUUGCUUCCAGUCUCUAGCCCUAAGUCUUCAGCACUGAGCCACCACUUUUCAUGACUUGUUGCCUCUUCUGGGUUUCUAUCAGUGAUUGGCUUUGACAAGCCUGAGCCUACACCGUGUACCCAGAGCCAGUGAUAUGAGGAAGGAGGAAAUGAGAUUUAACAGAAUGUAGUGAAAAUAUGCACAUCACUCCAUCAACACCAUGAAGGAAUCUGACCUUGGAACUUGGACACAUUCCAGCUGCGUUUCACGUCCCAUUUGCUGUGACGUUCGUGCUGAUGGAAAACGAUGUCAUCACAUCUUCUACAAGGGGAAUGGAAGGAAUUUGGCCGGCCGUGUGACCGCGCUGCCUGCAGUGUGUGUGUGUGUGUGUGUGUGUGUGUGUGUGUGUGUGUUUGUGUGAGAUGACCAGAGACCAACAUGUGACUGUGUGUUCAGUACGCUGGUGCAUUUAAAACAAAGAUUUUCAUCCAGAUAGACUUCCAUUAUUUAUCUAAUUUAGCUUUGUAGCUCCAGGACAAAGCAUUUAUGAUGGAAAAUUGCAUCCACUUUUUUGGUUUCCGGAGUAUCAUCUGUCUAGCAGUGUACACUAAUUUCUCACAUAGUUGAUUUUAAAAAAUCUGUUUAAUUAACUUCUGUUAGUUUUUCCUCUUGCCUCAUCUUACCUCCCCAUGGCAGUUGAAGCAUUUGGAGGACGAGGCACCGUAAUGACCUGUUUUAUAGUGACCGGAUUUGGCCUGAGCACACAGCACGGGGCAGAUCGGGUCUUUUUGUGCACACGCUAAAUUACAUGCUAUAAAAUGCUUCCCAGAGCCUGAUGUUCGUGGCUGGAUGAUUUAUCGUGCAAAUAUCAUUAUAACUCAAUAAAUCCUCGUUGUUUUUCUGUCA
This is a long non-coding RNA of Hemibagrus wyckioides, 4272 nucleotides long. RefSeq lists it as uncharacterized. The record is from RefSeq and is a predicted model, not a curated record. NCBI's taxonomy places the organism in Eukaryota, Metazoa, Chordata, Actinopteri, Siluriformes, Bagridae. The transcript has 2 exons.